AUGGAUCGACCUCUCCCGGUCCAUCAACUCUCACGAUUCAUCACCAUCUCUCAACACUUUCAUGAAAUCCUCCUUGGUUUCGAUCGACGAUUGCGAUUUCCGAUACGGCAGCAACGAAAUCAAAUCGACAGAGACAAUGACACUCUCAAGUGGUUCUGUUUUAAAGUUGUGUUGAAAACUUCUGAUGUCGCUUGGCGUGAUUUUGAGGAAGUUAAUACGAGAUCACGCCUCUGUGCCUUUCUUCUCAAUGGAGCUAACACAGUCUAA
Molecule: non-coding RNA, 267 nt
Organism: Vicia faba (fava bean)
Lineage: Eukaryota; Viridiplantae; Streptophyta; Magnoliopsida; Fabales; Fabaceae
Source: the annotation of a GenBank genome assembly